AGAGUUUGAUCCUGGCUCAGGAUGAACGCUGGCGGCGUGCCUAAUACAUGCAAGUCGAACGAGGCCCUCUUCCUUCGGGUGAGGUGUCCUAGUGGCGAACGGGUGAGUAACACGUUGGUGACCUACCCCGAAGAGGGGGACAACCCCGGGAAACUGGGGCUAAUACCCCAUGUGAUCCUAAGGACUAGAUGCCUAAGGAUGAAAUGGAGCAAUUCGCUUCGGGAGGGGCCUGCGGCCUAUCAGCUAGUUGGUGAGGUAAUGGCUCACCAAGGCGACGACGGGUAGGGGACCUGAGAGGGUGACCCCCCACACUGGAACUGAAACACGGACCAGACACCUACGGGUGGCAGCAGUAGGGAAUAUUGCACAAUAGGCGAAAGCCUGAUGCAGCAACGCCGCGUGCGCGAUGAAGGCCUUAGGGUUGUAAAGCGCUUUUCUGGGGGACGAGAAAGGACGGUACCCCAGGAAUGAGUCUCGGCUAACUACGUGCCAGCGCCGCGGUAAU
RNAcentral lists this ribosomal RNA (505 nucleotides) under uncultured bacterium. RNAcentral describes it as "bacterial SSU rRNA". It matches the Rfam family "Bacterial small subunit ribosomal RNA", at positions 8 to 524 of the family's 1533-position model. The record is from RNAcentral.